AGGUACCUACGGGACGCAGCAGUAGGGAAUCUUCCACAAUGGGCGAAAGCCUGAUGGAGCAACGCCGCGUGGGUGAAGAAGGUCUUCGGAUCGUAAAACCCUGUUGUUAGAGAAGAAAGUGCGUGAGAGUAACUGUUCACGUUUCGCCGGUAUCUAACCAGAAAGCCACGGCUAACUACGUGCCAGCAGCCGCGGUAAUACGUAGGUGGCAAGCGUUAUCCGGAUUUAUUGGGCGUAACGGGAACGCAGGCGGUCUUUUAAGUCUGAUUUGAAAGCCUUCGGCUUAACCGGAGUCGUGCAUUGGG
RNAcentral lists this ribosomal RNA (305 nucleotides) under uncultured bacterium. Its description in RNAcentral is "bacterial SSU rRNA". It matches the Rfam family "Bacterial small subunit ribosomal RNA", at positions 333 to 630 of the family's 1533-position model. The record is from RNAcentral.